CCAUUUUGAUAUCCAGCUCUCAAGGCUGGAGCAGCAGUUUACUGCCAGCCAGGAAGGGAGAAACAUCACCUAGUUGAGUUACUGCUCCAGGAACAGCUUGGAGUUAUUAAUUUCAUGUGCUAACCACUCCUGCUACAUAACCGGCAUGCUCAACUACAGAUCAUCAUCUUCUGUGAAGAAAAAAGAAGUACAGAUUUGGUUUGCAAACGUUCUGGAGGUACAAAGAUGGUGAGAGAUGACACGCUGCACCCCAGAGAUGUGGAAGGUACUUUGGAAGGCCCCAGGGGUACACGGCAGUGGUGC
Long non-coding RNA from Gavialis gangeticus (Gharial), 303 nucleotides. RefSeq lists it as uncharacterized. The record is from RefSeq and is a predicted model, not a curated record. Lineage: Eukaryota; Metazoa; Chordata; Crocodylia; Gavialidae. The transcript has 3 exons.